This 674-nucleotide ribosomal RNA is filed under the name uncultured organism. RNAcentral's name for it is "bacterial SSU rRNA". It matches the Rfam family "Bacterial small subunit ribosomal RNA", at positions 1 to 673 of the family's 1533-position model. The record is from RNAcentral.
GGCUUAGAGUUUGAUCAUGGCUCAGGAUGAACGCUGGCGGCGUGCUUAACACAUGCAAGUCGAACGGAGAGCGUAUGACAGAGGAUUCGUCCAAUGGAUUACGUUUCUUAGUGGCGGACGGGUGGGUAACGCGUGAGGAACCUGCCUCGGAGUGGGGAAUAACACAACGAAAGCUGUGCUAAUACCGCAUGAUGCAGCUGGGUCGCAUGACUCUGGCUGCCAAAGAUUUAUCGCUCUGAGAUGGCCUCGCGUCUGAUUAGCUGGUUGGCGGGGUAACGGCCCACCAAGGCGACGAUCAGUAGCCGGACUGAGAGGUUGGCCGGCCACAUUGGGACUGAGACACGGCCCAGACUCCUACGGGAGGCAGCAGUGGGGAAUAUUGGGCAAUGGGCGCAAGCCUGACCCAGCAACGCCGCGUGAAGGAAGAAGGCCCUCGGGUUGUAAACUUCUUUUGUCAGGGACGAAGCAAGUGACGGUACCUGACGAAUAAGCCACGGCUAACUACGUGCCAGCAGCCGCGGUAAUACGUAGGUGGCAAGCGUUAUCCGGAUUUACUGGGUGUAAAGGGCGUGUAGGCGGGAUUGCAAGUCAGAUGUGAAAACCACGGGCUCAACCUGUGGCCUGCAUUUGAAACUGCAGUUCUUGAGUACUGGAGAGGCAGAUGGAAUUAAGCC